UACGGGGGGGGCAAGCGUUGUUCGGAAUUACUGGGCGUAAAGGGCUCGUAGGCGGCCAACUAAGUCAGACGUGAAAUCCCUCGGCUUAACCGGGGAACUGCGUCUGAUACUGGAUGGCUUGAGUUCGGGAGAGGGAUGCGGAAUUCCAGGUGUAGCGGUGAAAUGCGCAGAUAUCAGGAGGAACACCGGUGGCGAAGGCGGGUCUCUGGGCAGUAACUGACGCUGAGGAGCGAAAGCGUGGGGAGCGAACAGG
This 253-nucleotide ribosomal RNA is filed under the name uncultured bacterium. RNAcentral describes it as "partial 16S ribosomal RNA". It matches the Rfam family "Bacterial small subunit ribosomal RNA", at positions 524 to 776 of the family's 1533-position model. The record is from RNAcentral.